RNAcentral lists this ribosomal RNA (485 nucleotides) under Salmonella enterica. Its description in RNAcentral is "partial 23S ribosomal RNA". It matches the Rfam family "Bacterial large subunit ribosomal RNA", at positions 711 to 1194 of the family's 2925-position model. Lineage: Bacteria; Pseudomonadati; Pseudomonadota; Gammaproteobacteria; Enterobacterales; Enterobacteriaceae. The record is from RNAcentral.
AGACCCGAAACCCGGUGAUCUAGCCAUGGGCAGGUUGAAGGUUGGGUAACACUAACUGGAGGACCGAACCGACUAAUGUUGAAAAAUUAGCGGAUGACCUGUGGCUGGGGGUGAAAGGCCAAUCAAACCGGGAGAUAGCUGGUUCUCCCCGAAAGCUAUUUAGGUAGCGCCUCGUGAAUUCAUCUCCGGGGGUAGAGCACUGUUUCGGCCAGGGGGCCAUCCCGGCUUACCAAUCCGAUGCAAACUGCGAAUACCGGAGAAUGUUAUCACGGGAGACACACGGCGGGUGCUAACGUCCGUCGUGAAGAGGGAAACAACCCAGACCGCCAGCUAAGGUCCCAAAGUCAUGGUUAAGUGGGAAACGAUGUGGGAAGGCCCAGACAGCCAGGAUGUUGGCUUAGAAGCAGCCAUCAUUUAAAGAAAGCGUAAUAGCUCACUGGUCGAGUCGGCCUGCGCGGAAGAUGUAACGGGGCUAAACCAUGCAC